This is a long non-coding RNA of Chenopodium quinoa (quinoa), 1033 nucleotides long. RefSeq lists it as uncharacterized. Lineage: Eukaryota; Viridiplantae; Streptophyta; Magnoliopsida; Caryophyllales; Amaranthaceae. The transcript is spliced from 4 exons. The record is from RefSeq and is a predicted model, not a curated record.
UUGCCCACAGUACUAAACCUGAAAACUCUUUUCACUUCUCUAAGCUCUCACUUCUUAACCCUAACUAUUCAUCUCUCCUUUGUCUUACGAAAUUCUACAAAGUGAUUCAGAAAAUCAUGGAUUUCAAUGUCAGAUCUUCAAUUCGUUCCCUUUGCACUACUCAUCAAUAAUUUUUCUUGCCUAAUUUUCUCUUCCGGCCGGCCUUCAAUGGUGUUUGAUUUCGUGCUCUCUUUGCCGAAAAAAUUGAGGUGAUGAUACUAAGGGGCUGCACGUUAGGUGUCGUUAUAGAAUUGAAGGUGCAGUUCGUCAAGGGAAUAGAUCUCCAAUUCUUCUAAAGAAACACUUGAAUUCUUAGAAAUGGCAAACCACCAGGGCAUGUUGAUUUGAUAUUUUCACAGGCUGUAACAAUUGCAGAUCCAUGCAGAUCAAUUGCUGAGUUGGUGGUACACUAGUAUUUGGCAAUUCUGGUAUUUGAUUGCAGAUCAACUAGAUACAAAAACCCAUAUAAUAAUUCUCGUAUUUACAAUUCAUGUUGUUCUUCCUAACACGACCGCUAUUCCUUGUCUCAAAUUGUUGUCAAAAGAUAAGAAGGUGCUCUACUAGUUGAUAAUGUGGGCAUUGUAGUGGAUACUCAUGAACAGCCCGUUGGUGGUACCCUAGUAUUUGGUUGUGCUCCUCAUUCAAUUGCUGAUUUAUCUUUGUAUGUGGUGGUUGCUAGUAAUGGAAGAUGGCAUUAUAAGCUUGUGUGGUGUGAAUAAGCUUAUAUUGUGUAAUGUACUAAUUUAUACUUUGUAAUUUUUUUUUGAAUAUUGGAAAAGGCAAUGUAGGUGCAACAAGAAAAUAGGCCGAAACACUUGAGCAUCAAAACAAGCGACUACAUCGUCUAUAACGCCAUCAUCUAUCUAUUUUGGUUUUUGGUCAUAAUUAUAUUAGUGAUGUUUUUAUUUAGGGACAAGCUACUAUAAUUGUAGGCGUCGUUCGAAGUGCGCCUACGUAAAAAGCAUGUGUGAAUAUGCUUGACACUCAUAGGAAG